Molecule: ribosomal RNA, 497 nt
Filed under: uncultured bacterium
Lineage: Bacteria
Description: partial 16S ribosomal RNA
Rfam family: Bacterial small subunit ribosomal RNA
Source: RNAcentral
GAUGAACGCUGGCGGCGUGCCUAAUACAUGCAAGUCGAGCGAACAGACGAGGAGCUUUCUCCUCUGACGUUAGCGGCGGACGGGUGAGUAACACGUGGAUAACCUACCUAUAAGACUGGGAUAACUUCGGGAAACCGGAGCUAAUACCGGAUAAUAUAUUUAACCGCAUGGUUCAAUAGUGAAAGACGGUUUUGCUGUCACUUAUAGAUGGAUCCGCGCCGCAUUAGCUAGUUGGUAAGGUAACGGCUUACCAAGGCGACGAUGCGUAGCCGACCUGAGAGGGUGAUCGGCCACACUGGAACUGAGACACGGUCCAGACUCCUACGGGAGGCAGCAGUAGGGAAUCUUCCGCAAUGGGCGAAAGCCUGACGGAGCAACGCCGCGUGAGUGAUGAAGGUCUUCGGAUCGUAAAACUCUGUUAUUAGGGAAGAACAAAUGUGUAAGUAACUAUGCACGUCUUGACGGUACCUAAUCAGAAAGCCACGGCUAACUACGUG